AUUCAGGUGGCACAUUUGACAAUGAAAUACUACUUUACUUUCCUAUCUCAACAGUGGAGUGCUCUUUCUCUCUCCUCUCUUUGUUAAGCUUUUGGUCUGUCCUCAACCAAAUUGGAUGAAAUUUCAAGAUGAAAAUCAUGGCGGGAAUCAUACCAGAGUGAUUUUAGUUCAAAUCAUGUCAAAUUUCGAGUUCCCAUCUCCAUUUUUUCAGUUAGAGCUAGUGGUAGACAGGGAGGUGAUAUUGCUCCGGAUUCUUAGAGCUGCCAGCCGAUAGAGAGCCCUCCAUUGUUCCGGAGGUGCCUAUGAUGAUCUUUUUGUGUAUAAUUGUAUAUGUCAUUUCAUAGAGGCUCGUAGAUACUCGAUGUGGGUCGUAUGGUCUCAUGGCAGGGUCAUUUUGUACGUAUGUAAAUGUAUACACUAUUUUGCUAGCCUAAAGGGCUCAUGUGUUUAUAGUACUCAUGUUUCCAAAUGAAAAUGUUUUUCUUAUAAAUUAAGCAUGAAAUGGGUAAUUGAUCGGUAAUAAGCCUAAGGAGUGAUGAUACGAGUGGUGCUCGGUGGUUAGCCCUGGGUACCCGUCGCGGCCCUAGCCGGGUCGUGACACUAUUAUCACUACAGAAAUGACAAAGAUACUCAGAACUUUUCAAUUGUUGUUGAGGUACCCUUGGCUGGUUAAUUUGAUUGACCUGCAAUAUACAUAAGAAAAUAAGCCAGCUAGUACGGUUCGAUAGACACAACAUGAGAGAAACAAGAAAGGUGCAGAAGGGCCUUCCUUUUCGACUUCCUGAUGGACUUGUUGCUGUUGAACUUCAGAGUGGUUGCUUCCCAUAAGAAUAGGGCAUUUUCUGCUAUUAUGCCCUGAUCUUCCACAUGAUCCGCACUUUUUUUCUUGCCUUUUCUUGAUGUUUUUAACAAGCAGGUGCAAUGAGUUGUUUUAUGUGCCCUACGAGGAGUUGCUAAAUUGUGUUCUCACACAAGCGGGGAGACAACUAAAGAGAAAAAUUGUUCAUCAACCAACAAACACACAAAGUUACUCAAUCAUCCAUGGAUUAGACGAUUAAUUCAAUCCAAAUGGAAGAAGGGAGAAGGGUUGAGAUAUGCUUAUGUAUGUGGGAUUGAUGGUAUGACGAUAUGUAAACGUGUUAGUAUGUUUAGGUUUUUUUGUUUGUAUAAAAGUGUUCCUUGUUGUAA
Lycium barbarum (goji berry) is the source of this 1188-nucleotide long non-coding RNA. RefSeq lists it as uncharacterized. The transcript is spliced from 5 exons. Lineage: Eukaryota; Viridiplantae; Streptophyta; Magnoliopsida; Solanales; Solanaceae. The record is from RefSeq and is a predicted model, not a curated record.